This 463-nucleotide ribosomal RNA is filed under the name uncultured bacterium. RNAcentral's name for it is "partial 16S ribosomal RNA". It matches the Rfam family "Bacterial small subunit ribosomal RNA", at positions 28 to 507 of the family's 1533-position model. The record is from RNAcentral.
GAUGAACGCUGACCGAAUGCUUAACACAUGCAAGUCUUUGGUGAAGCUGUGCUUGCACCGCCUAGCCAAGGCGGACGGGUGAGUAACGCGUAAGGAACUUGCCCUGCAGUCAGGGAUAACAGACGGAAACGACUGAUAAGACCUGGUAAAGUCAGGCGGACUCAUGUCCAGCCUGAUGAAAAGAGAUGCUGCAGGAGAGCCUUGCGUCCUAUUAGCUUGUUGGUGGGGUAACGGCCCACCAAGGCAAUGAUAGGUAGCCGGCCUGAGCGGGUGGACGGCCCCAAGGGGACUGAGAUACGGCCCUUACUCCUACGGGAGGCAGCAGUGGGGAAUAGUGGACAAUGGCGGCAACACUGAUCCAGCAAUUCUGUGUGCACGAUGAAGGUUUUCGGAUUGUAAAGUGCUUUCAGCAGGGAAGAAAAAAAUGACGGUACCUGCAGAAGAAGCGACGGCUAAAUACGUG